Molecule: non-coding RNA, 45 nt
Organism: Schistosoma mattheei
Lineage: Eukaryota; Metazoa; Platyhelminthes; Trematoda; Strigeidida; Schistosomatidae
Source: Rfam
AUCUUUCUGACGAGUUUCAAAUGGGACGAAACGCGUGUCUUGGAU